Molecule: long non-coding RNA, 1217 nt
Filed under: Cyanistes caeruleus (blue tit)
Lineage: Eukaryota; Metazoa; Chordata; Aves; Passeriformes; Paridae
Description: lncRNA (ENSCCEG00000003365.1)
Source: RNAcentral
AUCCCGGAGCAGGAGGGAUGUCACCUGCCGGGGAGUGACAGCUGGCCCAGGGUGACAGGUGAGUCACCUGUGUCACCUGUGUCACCUGUGUCACUGUCAGUGUCACCUGUGUCACCUGCCCGGGAGUGACACCUGGCCCAGGGUGACCGGUGAGUCAUUGUCACCUGUGUGACUGUCAGUGUCACCUGUGUCACCUGCCGGGGAGUGACAGCUGGCCACGGGUGACAGGUAAGGGACAUCACCUGUGUCACCUGUGUCACCUGCCGGGGAGUGACACCUGGCCCAGAGUGACAGGUGAGUCAUUGUCACCUGUGUGACUGUCAGUGUCACCUGUGUCACCUGUGUCACCUGCCGGGGAGUGACAGCUGGCCCAGGGUGACAGGUGAGUCACCUGUGUCACCUGUGUCACCUGUGUCACCUGUGUCACCUGUGUCACUGUCAGUGUCACCUGUGUCACCUGUGUCACCUGUGUCACCUGUGUCACCUGCCGGGGAGUGACACCUGGCCCCGGGUGACAGGUGAGUCAUUGUCAUUGUCACCUGUGUCACCUGUGUGACUGUCAGUGUCACCUGUGUCACCUGCCGGGGAGUGACACCUGGCCACGGGUGACAGGUGAGUCAUUGUCACCUGUGUCACCUGUGUCACCUGUGUCACUGUCAGUGUCACCUGUGUCACCUGCCCGGGAGUGACACCUGGCCCAGGGUGACAGGUGAGUCACCUGUGUCACCUGUGUCACCUGUGUCACCUGCUGGGGAGUGACACCUGGCCACGGGUGACAGGUGAGUCACCUGUGUGACCUGUGUCACUGUCAGUGUCACCUGUGUCACCUGUGUCACCUGUGUCACCUGUGUCACCUGCCCGGGAGUGACACCUGGCCACGGGUGACAGGUGAGUCAGUGUCAUUGUCACCUGUGUCACCUGUGUCACCUGUGUCACCUGUGUCACCUGUGUCACCUGUGUCACCUGCCCGGGAGUGACACCUGGCCCAGAGUGACAGGUAAGGGACAUCACCUGUGUCACCUGUGUCACCUGCCGGGGAGUGACACCUGGCCACGGGUGACAGGCUGUUCCGGGGUGACCCUGCUGCUGCAGAGGGGGGGUUUGGGGGUCUCAGGGGUGUCACACAGGGGGAGGUGACACUCGUGUCCCCCCAGGCUGUUCCGGGGUGACCCUGCUGGUGCAGAGGGGGGUCACAGGGGGUCUCAGGGGGUCUCAGG